UGAUCAUGUAUGGGAUUAGACCAGAUGUAUAGAAGGAAUGUCAGGCUUACUACGGGUCUAGGCGGCCUUAAGCCGAUCUGGAUCCUAGUGCCGAACAGUUUGGAUCCGUUACGGAAGGGUACCGGUUUCCGGGCUGUUACAGUUGGUAUCAGAGCAGAGGGCCUCAUAAGUACGGUGUGUUGAGCAAGGUCUCUCACAUCGGAAAGAGGUUGUUUUAGUAAGGCGAG
Molecule: long non-coding RNA, 227 nt
Filed under: Manihot esculenta (cassava)
Lineage: Eukaryota; Viridiplantae; Streptophyta; Magnoliopsida; Malpighiales; Euphorbiaceae
Description: long non-coding RNA (MESC_LNC003649)
Source: RNAcentral